UUAAAAAAUGCACGAUGUGGAUGCCUUGGUACCUAUUUAUAGGACGUUAGACUACGAAAAGCCAUUUACCACUUUUUAAAUGGAUCUCCAAAGGGAAACCUGUAAAACUAAAAAUCUGCCAAUGGAAACCACCUAGAGCAGUGUUAGAAAAAUCAACCGAGAAGCCGGUAGUAGCGGUGAGCGAAACUGGUAAUUGAAGGCCUUCGUUUUUAAAGAUCAAGAAAUCUUGGAAGUUAACUGUCCCUGAAACUGUGUUAUGUUUUAACCUAAAACAUAAUCCUAACUUGGUUGGAAUACGGUGCCAAAGAAGGUGAAAGCCCUGUAGGGAAAAUUAUGGCAGAAUUGUAUAAAUUUAUCCAAUAAAAAAGGAAAAAUUUGUUAAGAAUUUAAAAAGGGGGAACCACCCUCCAACUAAUCAAAAAUAGGUAACCGAUAGUGAACCAGUACCGUGAGGGAAAGGUGAAAAGAACAACUCCUGGUUGUAGUGAAAUAGAACUGAAACCUCGUGCAAACAUACACUUGGAAACUUUUUUAAGUGCCAAGGUGCCUUUUGCAACAUGAUCAUGCGAGUUUUUUGGAACAGCUGCUUAACUCUGUAGAGGUAGGCC
Molecule: ribosomal RNA, 608 nt
Filed under: Ourococcus multisporus
Lineage: Eukaryota; Viridiplantae; Chlorophyta; Chlorophyceae; Sphaeropleales; Selenastraceae
Description: large subunit ribosomal RNA
Rfam family: Bacterial large subunit ribosomal RNA
Source: RNAcentral